This 207-nucleotide long non-coding RNA is filed under the name Phoenix dactylifera (date palm). RNAcentral's name for it is "long non-coding RNA (PDAC_LNC006993)". Lineage: Eukaryota; Viridiplantae; Streptophyta; Magnoliopsida; Arecales; Arecaceae. The record is from RNAcentral.
CCCGUUAAGGGGGUCUUUCUCCGACCUUCCAGAGGCUUCGCCUCUUCAUCUCUCGCUCCCCUCUCUCUCUUCCGGCCGCUCCCUCUCUCUCUUCUCCCCUUCGUUCCCACCGGAACCUUAGUUGCUCCGGCCGAUCUCUCGGCCUUCUUUCCCUCCUUCGGCCGAAUCCACGGCCUCUUCUUCCUUCUGGUCUCUCCCUCUCCUUCU